RNAcentral lists this unclassified non-coding RNA (240 nucleotides) under soil metagenome. Its description in RNAcentral is "partial contains 5.8S ribosomal RNA, internal transcribed spacer 2, and large subunit ribosomal RNA". The record is from RNAcentral.
AACGCACGAGACCUGCGGACCUGCGGAAGGAUCAUUAAUGAGAAACUGCCCCUCGCGGGUAGAUCUCCCACCCUUUGUAAACUUACCUUUGUUGCUUUGGCAGGCCCGUCUCCGGACCGCCGGCUUCGGCUGGCCAGUGCCUGCCAGAGGAUUCUAAAACUCUGUCUGUCAGUGUUGUCUGAGUCUGUAUACAAUCGUUAAAACUUUCAGCAAUGGAUCUCUAGAUCGGAAGAGCACACG